UACGUAGGCGGAUCAGAAAGUUAGGGGUGAAAUCCCGAGGCUCAACCCUGGAACUGCCUUAUAAACUCCUGGUCUUGAGUUCGAGAGAGGUGAGUGGAAUUCCAAGUGUAGAGGUGAAAUUCGUAGAUAUUUGGAGGAACACCAGUGGCGAAGGCGGCUCACUGGCUCGAUACUGACGCUGAGGUACGAAAGUGUGGGGAGCAAACAGGAUUAGAUACCCUGGUAGUCC
Molecule: ribosomal RNA, 229 nt
Filed under: uncultured bacterium
Lineage: Bacteria
Description: partial 16S ribosomal RNA
Rfam family: Bacterial small subunit ribosomal RNA
Source: RNAcentral